GGGAAAAGCUCAAAUUUAAAAUCUGGCAGUCUUUGGCUGUCCGAGUUGUAAUCUAGAGAAGUAUUAUCCGCGCUGGACCGUGUACAAGUCUCCUGGAAUGGAGCGUCAUAGAGGGUGAGAAUCCCGUCUUUGACACGGACUGCCAGGGCUUUGUGAUAUGCUCUCAAAGAGUCGAGUUGUUUGGGAAUGCAGCUCAAAAUGGGUGGUAAAUUCCAUCUAAAGCUAAAUAUUGGCGAGAGACCGAUAGCGAACAAGUACCGUGAGGGAAAGAUGAAAAGAACUUUGGAAAGAGAGUUAAACAGUACGUGAAAUUGCUGAAAGGGAAACGCUUGAAGUCAGUCGCGUUGGCCAGGGAUCAACCUUGCUUUUGCUUGGCUUACUUUCUGGUCGAUGGGUCAGCAUCAAUUUUGACUGGUGGAAAAAGUUCAAGGGAAUGUGGCAUCUUCGGAUGUGUUAUAGCCUUUGUUCACAUACAUUGGUUGGGAUUGAGGAACUCAGCACGCCGCAAGGCCGGGUUUUUAACCACGUACGUGCUUAGGAUGCUGGCAUAAUGGCUUUAAUCGACCCGUCUUGAAACACGGACCAAGGAGUCUAACAUGCCUGCGAGUAUUUGGGUGAAAAACCCGAGUGCGUAAUGAAAGUGAAAGUUGAGAUCCCUGUCGUGGGGAGCAUUGACGCCCGGAUCUGACCUUUUGUGACGAU
This 702-nucleotide ribosomal RNA is filed under the name Laccaria trichodermophora. RNAcentral describes it as "eukaryotic LSU rRNA". It matches the Rfam family "Eukaryotic large subunit ribosomal RNA", at positions 100 to 788 of the family's 3401-position model. Lineage: Eukaryota; Fungi; Basidiomycota; Agaricomycetes; Agaricales; Hydnangiaceae. The record is from RNAcentral.